AUUUUAUUUUGCAAAAUUUUAAAAUUCAUAUAUUUAAAAUUUAAAUCUAUAAUACUGAAUUAAUUUUACCAAUCAGGCUUUACUAUUAAAAAACCUACAGAAAAAACCUACACCUACAGCAAACACAGUUACAGCAAAAUAAUUACAGCGAAAAUUUUACUUCUACAGCCAAACCAAUCACCCACAAUAUUACAAUAAAAAAAUAUAGAAUAUACUUAAGCAAAAUAAAAUUUAAAAUUGAAAAACAGAAAAAAAACAUGAUGAUAUAAAUAAUUUAGUCGCUUGUAGUAAAUUACUUUGGCCUUAUUUUUGCCAAAUAUGUUCAAUCAAAUCUUUUUUCAAUUGUCGAUGUGUUUGUUCAUGAUGUAUUUGAGCUCGAUUGGCCAUCAAAUUGUUCACAUUUGUAGUUGUGUCUGUAGAAAAAGAGUUGUCUACUUGAGAAGUCCCGCUUCCUUCGCCUUCUACGAAAUCAGAUAAAUCAAACUGAGUAUAUUCGUCUCGUUUAUCUUCUAUAAUCAUAUUGUGCAAUAUGAUACAUGCUCUCAUUAUUUUGCCCAUUCCCUCUUUAUCCCAAAACAGACCUAGGUUUCAAAUAAUAGCAAACUGAGCCUGCAAGACUCCAAAAGCACGUUCGACAUCUUUUCUCACUGCUUCUUGACAACUAGCAAAUAAUGAUGCUUUCGGUCCUCGUGGACGGGUAAUUGAUUGGAUGAAUGUUCCCCACUUCGGAUAUAUAUCAUAUGUGAGGUAAUAACCCAUUUUGUUUUGAUGUCCAUUGAUUUCGUACUUGAGUCGUGGAGCUCGACCUUCUAAUAUAUCAUCAACCACCGGUGAGCGGUCAAGAACAUUUAUAUCAUUACACGUACUUGAACCCCAAAAAAAGCAUGUCAAAUCCAUAGAUCUUGAAAUGUCACGGCCUCUAAAAUAAUAGUGGAUUUUCCAUGUCCGCGUGAAUACUGCCCUUUCCAAGCUGUAGUACAAUUAUUCCACUCCUAAUGCAUACAGUCAAUGCUUCCUACCAUUCCCGGAAAACCGCGUUCUUUUCCAAAAUGAAGUAACCGUUCUAGAUCCUCACGUGUAGGUCGCCUCAAAUAUUCAUCUUGGAAUAAAUUUAUUAUGCCAUCUACAAAAUUCUCUAGUGCUUGACUCAUAGUGGUUGCGCCCAUGCGGAGGUAUGCGUUCAUCACAUUGUUUGCAAGACCAUAUGCCAGACGCCUAAUUGCGGUAGUACAUUUCUGUAGGGCGGAUAGACCUUGCUUCCCAGUAGCAUCGUCCCUUUGUUGGAAAUAUGAAAAUUGAGAAAGACUUUGAACAAUACGAAGGAACAACGGCCUCGUCAUUCGAAAGCGUCGUCGAAACAUGCGAUCAUGGUAAAUGGGGUCUUCCGAAAAUUAAUCGUUGCAUAAUCGAAUAUGACUUUCUUCGUGAUCUCUCUCUAUAUUAGCAUCCCUUUUUUUUCCUUUUUUUCGCCGCUACACGUCUACUAAAAUUAUCUAAACCAUCUUCAAAACAUUUUUCAAACAUCUCCUCCAACGUAUCAUCAUCAUGAGAAUGUGAUGCCAUUAUUAUUCAAAAGAGAAUUGGGUUUGAGAAGAAAAACAAUUAAAAGAGAAUUGGAUUUGUGAAGGAAAACAAUUAAAAGAGUCUUGUGGUUUGUAAAUGAAAAUAAAGUCUUUGUUUGAGAAUAAUUGUAAUGAAGAAUUGUAAUGAAAAUAUGAGAAGAGGAAGAAUCGUUUGAAUGGAUUUCAAUAUGAGAAGAAAGACAUAUAUAUAAGAGAAUUGUACAAAUACAUUGAGAAGGAAAAGAAAGACCAUAGAAAGUAAAAACAAGUGGCUUCUGACCAUAAAAACAUUCAUAUGUCAUGUGCUACUAAAAAACAAACAACUAGUAGCCCUACAUUACAUCCAAAACAACUACUAAAAACAAAAACAAGGUACAUCCGAAUAUAUUACACAACCCUACAUUCAAGCAUCAAUACCCCACAUCUCCUUUCCUUGCCGACAUCACUAGCUUCCAAGAGGAAGUCUUGCACAUAAAAAAGCAAAGAAUAUAAAAUAAUAAUAAAUGUUAAGUUAACAAAAGAACUGAACUAACAACACAUACCUAAAGACCAGAAUAUUCAUUCUCAGAAACAAACACAUUGCUUCCAGAAAGAUACUCUUGGAUAAGAGAAUUUUUAAUUUGAAUUUCCAUAUCACUCAAUCCAUUAGACCUAUUAAGUAGGCUGUCAAGUAGCUUAUGUUUGGAGAGUCUCUCUUUGACAGUCAAAUCCUUCUCUUUCACUUCCCACAUACGCUGAAGUUAAUCAGCAGAACCAGCGUCAGCUCCUCCUUCACUCUUUCCCUUACCUUUUGACUUGGCUGAAGCCUUGGCUGCCUUCACACCUAUAGGCCUUUUAAGACUUUCUUGUUCUACAGAUGAAAGUUUAGCUUUCUUCUUGGCAGAAACUUUGAUCAGUCUUGAGGAUUCUCCAAACAUGCUCAAGGAUGAAUUUGUUUUUUUGAUCUUGAUGGUAAAGCUUGUAGGCAAGCACGAGAAUGUCAUAUUGAGUCUCUCCCCUGCGAGGAGUCCGACAGGCAAACUCAUAACAGCCUGCAAAGUUCAUGAUGAGCUGAGAGAAGAGAGAAGGUCGUUGAAGCGAAGACCGGAGAAGUGAGGCCCUCGAGGAGAUGCAAUGGAAGAGAUGAAGCAGGAGGAGAAGCAGAGGGAGUGAAGGCAAGAUCGAGAGGGAAAAUCGGCGGAGGAGAGUGAAAAUCGGCAGAGAGGGAAAAUCAGCGGAGGAGAGGGAAGUUCUAGGUUUUCUCGGGAGAGAGAGGUGAGAAAAACUGAAAGGUCUUUUUCCUCUGCUUUAGCCAAAACACGUUUCUAACAACAAUCAGCACGUGCCACGUCAUUUGUUAUUGGGUAUCAAAAAUAUCAAUCAAGUGCUAAGACUUAGACCCAAAAAUAUUGUUUUAUCCAUUUAAAAAUAUUUUUGGGCUUUUGAUACUAAAUAAAUAUCACCGCUGGGCAUGGUCUUAGGUUCACCAAAUAAGGGUGAACUCUUGUAUUCACUUUUUUUAUUUAUAAAAUUUUGAACACUUUUUCGACUCACCUUUAGGGUGAACCGAGCGAGAGGAAAAAUCGGCGGAGGAGAGGGAAGUUCUAGGUUUUCUCGGGAGAGAUAGGUGAGAAAAAAUGAAAGUUUUUUUUUUUCCUCUGUUUUAGCAAAAACGCGUUUCUAACAACAAUCAGCACGUGCCACAUCAUUUGUUAUUGGGUAUCAAAAAAUAUAAAUGAAGUGAUAUGGCUAAGACCCAAAAAUAUUGUUUGGUCCAUUUAAAAAUUUUUUUUGGGCUUCUAAUACUCAGAAAAUAUCACUGCUGGGCAUGGUCUUAGGUUCACCAAAUAGGGGUGAACUAUUGUAUUCACUUUUUAUUUAUAAAUUUUUGAAAACUUUUUUGACUCACCUUUAGGGUGAAGCGAUCGAGAGAAAAAAUCGGCGGGGGAGAGUGAAAAUAGGCGGAGAGGGAAAAUCGGCGGAGGAGAGGGAAGUUCUAGGUUUUCUCGGGAGAGAGAGGUGAUAAAAAAUGAAAGUUUUUUUUCUUCCUCUACUUUAGCCAAAACGCGUUUCUAACAACAAUCAGCACGCACCACGUCAUUUGUUAUUGGGUAUCAAAAAUAUCAAUCAAGUGAUACGGCUAAGACCCAAAAAUAUUGUUUUGUCCAUUUAAAAAUAUUUUUUGGGCUUCUGAUACUCAGAAAAUAUCACCGCUGGGCAUGGUCUUACGUUCACCAAAUAGGGCUGAACUCUUGUAUUCACUUUUUUUAUUGUUAAAUUUUUGAAAACUUUUUCGACUUCCCUUUGGGGUUAACCGAUCGAGAGGGAAAAUCAGCGGAGGAGAGUGAAAAUCGGCGGAGAGGGAAAAUCGGCGGAGGAGAGGGAAGUUCUAGGUUUUCUCGGGAGAGAGAGGUGAGAAAAAAUGAAAGUUUUUUUUUUCCUCUCAUUUAGCCAAAACCCGUUUCUAAUAACAAUCAGCACGUGUCACGUCAUUUGUUAUUGGUAUCAAAAAUAUCAAUCAAGUGAUAUGGCUCAGACCCAAAAAUAUUGUUUUGUCCAUUUAAAAAUAUUUUUUUGGCUUUUGAUACUAAAAAAAAAUCAUCGUUGGGUAUGGUCUUUGGUUCACCAAAUAGGGGUGAACUCUUAUAUUCAAUUUUUUUAUUUAUAAAUUUUUCAAAACUUUUUCAACUCACCUUUAGGGUGAACCGAUCGAGAGGAAAAAUCGUCGAGGGAGAGUGAAAAUCGGCGGAAAGGGAAAAUCGGCGGAGGACAGGGAAGUUCUAGGUUUUCUCAGGAGAGUGAGGUGAUAAAAAAUGAAAGUUUUUUUUUCCUCUGCUUUAACCAAAACGCGUUUCUAACAACCAUCAGCACUUGCCACGUCAUUUGUUAUUGGGUAUCAAAAAUAUCAAUUAAGUGAUACGGCUUAGACCCAACAAUAUUGUUUUAUCCAUUUAAAAAUACUUUUUGGGCUUCUGAUACUCAUAAAAUAUCACCGCUGGGCAUGGUCUUAGGUUCAACAAAUAGGGGUGAACUCUUGUAUUCAAUUUUUUUAUUUAUAAAUUUUUGAAAACUUUUUCGACUCACCUUUAGUGUGAACCAAUCAAAAUACAACAAUAUGUAAUAUCAUACUUUAUUUAAAAAUAAAUCAAAAUUAAAAUCAGAAAACAAAUAAGGAAAUAAAAUCUGUAUAUUUUGAAUUGAAAAUGGUUAAGUAUCAGUUUGUGUUUAUAAAUAAGAAUUUGGGUUUAGAUUUGAUAAUUAAACAAAAUUAAAUAUCGGUUUGGGUUUAUAAAAACGUAUUUAGAGUUUAGAUUUUACUAUUAAACAAAAUUAUAUGUUGGUUUGGGUUUAUAAAAUAGUAUAUAGGGUUUAGAUUUUACAAUUAAACAAAAUCAUAUGUCGGUUUAGGUUUAUAAAAGAGUGGUUAGGGUUUAAAAAUUUAGAAUUAAAUGAAAUUAGAUAUCAGUUUGGAUUUAAUGAAAAUUGUUUAGGGUUUACAUUUUACAAUAAAACAAAAUUAUAUGUCAAUUGGGUUUAUAAAAAUAAGGUUUAGGGUUUUACAUUUUAUAAUU
Molecule: small RNA, 5113 nt
Filed under: Arabidopsis thaliana (thale cress)
Lineage: Eukaryota; Viridiplantae; Streptophyta; Magnoliopsida; Brassicales; Brassicaceae
Description: ATSL085780
Source: RNAcentral